Molecule: ribosomal RNA, 492 nt
Filed under: uncultured bacterium
Lineage: Bacteria
Description: partial 16S ribosomal RNA
Rfam family: Bacterial small subunit ribosomal RNA
Source: RNAcentral
AGUGAACGCUGGCGGUAGGCCUAACACAUGCAAGUCGAACGGCAGCACAGUAAGAGCUUGCUCUUACGGGUGGCGAGUGGCGGACGGGUGAGGAAUACAUCGGAAUCUACUUUUUCGUGGGGGAUAACGUAGGGAAACUUACGCUAAUACCGCAUACGACCUACGGGUGAAAGCAGGGGAUCUUCGGACCUUGCGCGAUUGAAUGAGCCGAUGUCGGAUUAGCUAGUUGGCGGGGUAAAGGCCCACCAAGGCGACGAUCCGUAGCUGGUCUGAGAGGAUGAUCAGCCACACUGGAGCUGAGACACGGUCCAGACUCCUACGGGAGGCAGCAGUGGGGAAUAUUGGACAAUGGGCGCAAGCCUGAUCCAGCCAGACCGCGUGGGUGAAGAAGGCCUUCGGGUUGUAAAGCCCUUUUGUUGGGAAAGAAAAGCAGCAGGUUAAUACCCCGCUGUUCUGACGGUACCCAAAGAAUAAGCACCGGCUAACUUCGUG